GCAUGGUGGCACAUGCCUGUAAUCCCAGCUACUUGGGAGGCUGAGGCAGGGGAAUUGCUUGAACCCGGGAGGCAGAGGUUGCGGUGAACUGAGAUUGCGCCACUGCAUUCCAGCCUGGCGACAGAGCAAGACUUUGUCUCAGAAAAAAAAAUAAAAAAAUAAAAAAGUCGUAUGUCUUGUGUCCAUGGCUUUAAUAUGGUGACCUCUCGGGAGAGGGGGACCACCAGCUUGCUUAAGGUGGAGUGAACCAGCCCAGGUUGGAAACAGAGCAGCUCAAAACUUGCGUGCUGAUUAGUAGUGUGAUUGUGCCUAUGAAAAGCCACUGCACUCCAACCUGGGCAACAUAGUGAGACUCUGUCUCU
RNAcentral lists this signal recognition particle RNA (362 nucleotides) under Piliocolobus tephrosceles (Ugandan red Colobus). RNAcentral describes it as "Metazoan signal recognition particle RNA (ENSPTEG00000001575.1)". It matches the Rfam family "Metazoan signal recognition particle RNA". Rfam says of the family: The signal recognition particle (SRP) is a universally conserved ribonucleoprotein. It is involved in the co-translational targeting of proteins to membranes. Lineage: Eukaryota; Metazoa; Chordata; Mammalia; Primates; Cercopithecidae. The record is from RNAcentral.